Molecule: microRNA precursor, 80 nt
Filed under: Microtus ochrogaster (prairie vole)
Lineage: Eukaryota; Metazoa; Chordata; Mammalia; Rodentia; Cricetidae
Description: miRNA (ENSMOCG00000010913.1)
Rfam family: mir-147 microRNA precursor family
Source: RNAcentral
UAUGAAUCUAGCGGAAACACUUCAGCACAAACUAAGAUUUUGAUACCAGUGUGCGGAAAUGCUUCUGCUACGAUUUUAGG